RNAcentral lists this long non-coding RNA (9607 nucleotides) under Citrus sinensis (sweet orange). RNAcentral's name for it is "long non-coding RNA (CSIN_LNC004740)". Lineage: Eukaryota; Viridiplantae; Streptophyta; Magnoliopsida; Sapindales; Rutaceae. The record is from RNAcentral.
UUAGCUAUUUCCCUCUACCCCUAUCCAUCAGGAGAUAUCUAUUUAUAAUACAAUUUAGAUAUCAUGAGUCCUUAAUAACUCCUUAUUUUUAUUAAUUUUCAUUACUUGACAAGAGUUUUAUCUGAGGUCUAUAUUUAUAUCUUUCUCAAAUUGGGUUCCCGAAACUUCUAGACUUUCUUCUGAGUUUAAAUUAUGCAUCCUAGAUCCUUCUUUAGCUCCAUGACAUCUUGCUUAUGUCAUGCAGUUUAAUUUCUUGUUCAAAUUUUUUUUGGCUCCAUGUCAUCUUGCCUAUGUCAUGGAGCUCACUUUAUUGCUCAAGUUUCUUUGGCUCUAUGACAUCUUGCUUGUGUUAUGCAGCUCAAUUUCUUGCUCAAGUUUAUUUGGCUCCAUGACAUCUUACUUAUGUCAUGCUUCUUGCGUACAUGCUUUCUUGUUUUCUCUUGCAUGCUUUCUUUUUUUCUCCUGACAACAGUUGGCCCCUAGCUCUUUGAAGCUUGACUUUCAAAGUUGAAAAAGAACUAACUCUAGUAUUUCCUCACUUAUAUAUAUAUAUAUAUCAGCCACCAUUGAAGGUUUUUCUCCCAUGUAAAUGUCAUCUCUCUCUAUCUCUUUUUUUUUUUUUUUUUUUAAGUUUAAGUCACUUGAGUCCUUUUUGAGUAUUUGUUAUUUCUUUAUUCUUCACUUGACAUCUCACCCAUGUGAUUACCCACUUCAUCAAUGCUCCAGCCAGGGUCAAUAGAAGUGGAAGAAGGAAAAAAAGGAAGCAGGAGCAAAAUUCAUGACAGGGGCUGGUUUGUUGUUUCCAAUGGGCUGGUAAUCAUUGUUUUCAAUAGGAUAUUCACAAAGGCUAGGGUUAGAGUAAUCCUUAGAGUCUGAAGACAUUGCUUGUGUUUUAAUUAAAGAUGUCAAGCGAAGAAUAUGUAAAUAACAAAUACUCACCAAGGACUCAAGUAAUUUAAACUUGAAAAAAAAAAAAAAAAAAAGAUGAUCUUUACAUGGGAGAAAAAACUUCAAUGGUAGCUAAUAUAUAUAAGUGAAGGAAUGAUUAAAGUUAACUCUGAAAGUCAAGCAUAAAAGAGAUAAGGGCAGUUGUUGUCAGGAGAAAACAAUCAUGCACGCAAGAAGCAUGCUGGAGAAAACACGAAAACAUGCAUGCAAGAAGCAUGACAUAAGCAAGAUGUUAUGGAGUCAAAGAAAUUUGAGAAAGAGAACUACAUCACAUAAGCAACCUAUCGUGGAGCCAACAUAACUUGAGCAAGAAAUUGAGUGGCAUGACAUAAGCAAGAUGUCAUGGAAUCAAAAACAUUUGAGCAAGAACUUGACCCGCAUGACAUAAGUGAGAUAUCAUGAAGCCAAAAGAAAUUUGAGCAAAAAAUUGAGCUGCAUGGCAUAAGCAAGAUGUCAUAAAGCCAAAGUAAUUUGAAAAAGAAAAGAACUGCAUGACAAAGCAAGAUGUCAUGAAGCCAAAUAAAAUGCGUUUAUAGAAGAAUAAUCUAGGACGCGUAAUCUAAAACCAAAAGAAAAAUCUAGGAGCUUCAGAAACCUAACUUGAGAAGGAAAUAAAUAUAGACAUCGGAAAAAACUCUAAUCAAGUAGUGGAAACCGAUAAAAACAAAGAGUUAUCAAGAACUCAGGAUACCUAAAUUGCAUUAUAAAUAGAGACCUCUUGAUGCAUAGGCGGUUGAGGCAAAUAGCAAAGCAAGCCGAAAAAAAAAAAACCUUCGUUGUAAUUCUCAUUGAAUAGUAAAGUUGCUCUUUCUAUUCCCGUGAACAUAAGCCAAGCGCUAAACCACGUAAAUUCUCUAGUUUAUUUAAUUUUAUAGUUGACCAAAAAUCAGCAUCAAUUUGAGGAAGGAAUACUCAAGAACAUAGUUCUAGACUCAAAGUUGUAAUUACUGGUCUAAACCAAAUCAGAUACCACUGUUUAACCCAAAUAUAUAAGACAUGAAAAGUUCUCUUUUACGCACCUGAGAAUCAAGAAAUGUACAAGCAGCUUCCAAAGCAACUUCAAGAGCCCUAAACUCAAAGGGCAGAUAAUCAGGGGAUGUGUUCCCAAAUACAUUGUCAAAAUUCCUACUUCGUCUCCGGUUGGUGUCACCCUCUGAUUGCCAAACUUCAUUUACUCCAGCUGCGGUCAAACGCCGUUGUAGCUCCACCACAUACUGUAGCACAUAGCUAUCAAGGGAAUUCAAGAGUAGAACCUCAUCAGCGGUGAUAAUACACCGAAUCUGCUCUAAAUUUACAACGAUAGCCUUCUCUCUACCGAGAAUUGUCGAGGGGUAUACAAACAAAGGAUCCAAAAGACGCAGAUCACGGGCAGGUAAAUCACAACGACGCAUCAUACUGAACUUGUCAACCUCAAUGAUCUGGGAAUUCCCAGACACAUCAACACGAAUCCAAGAUCGAAGGCCUUGCCCCCGCUUCUUCAGCCCCAAAACAUCCACACCUUGGAAAGGUUGGCGUCCAGAAGCAGAUGGCCGAAAAGAAGAAUCUCUUAGGUUUAUAGCAGAUGCUGGUUUGGGCGGAAGCAGGCGUUCUUUUAGCUCCGCCAUUGAUUACAAGCUCUAAACAGAUAAAACAGAAUAAAGAAUAAACAAAGUCACUUGCUUGCUCUUGCUACUUUUCCAAAUUAAUAUACCUAAGAAAUUUCAUAGAAAUCAUAUUCCUCUACAAUAAUUACCCACUACACUUGCACAUUCGGUGGAAUGGUUCAAUUCUUGUACUGAUAAAUGUUUAGUUAACAAUUUGAAACAAUUGGUUCUAUGCAAUAGUACCCAAUCAAAAAAGCUCGAUUCAAGGCAUUUAACAACAUACAGAGUACACUCUACACAGAGAGUUAGAAAAUAAUAAUGAAAUUUAUGAAAUACCUCCACUGCAGAAACCGUUGAUAGGUCUGUAAGAUUAUCCAAGACGCCCUUUAAAAAAAAUUAAAAAAAAAAAAAAAAUUCUAUUGAUGCAUCAAAAAUUGAGCAAACCCAAUUAAAGAAAAUAACAAACAACAGAUGCAAAGUGAAAGGUAAAAGAAACCCUAGAUUUAGAGUUAGAAAAAAACCUGAUAUAUUAUAAAACAGAGAAACCCAGUUCUUCAGAGGAUUCACAGAAUCUUGCCUUUAACCAACAAACGACGAUUAAAAUACGACAAGAUAGUAACAACAAUAAUAAUAAUAAUAAUAAUACUUGAGAGUAAGAAGAUAAAGUACAAUUGAAGUGUCUGAGCUUGUGUCUGGGUUUUGUGGUAUGCGUAAUCGAUUCAAAGUUCAAAAUACAAUAAAUACGGGUCAGUUGAGACCCGAAUUUAACUCCACUGCUCUUUUUUUUUUUUUUCUAUUUUUUCAUUUUCUAGAGAUCUUGUCAAUUAUUUCCCUUAAUUAUAAAAAGUAUUUUUUUAUUGGAUUAAUGAUGUUAGAACAGAAAAAAAAAAAAAAAAAAUGGACAUUUUGUUUAUUUUCGGUGAGGGACAAAACUAAUUAACCAUGAUUGGAUUGGAGCAUAGUGAAGUCUCAUGUGAAGUUUGUUGUAGGGUCAUGUGGAUUUGUAUGAAUUCGGCGAGUUCACAAUACAUUUAAGAAUAGGUUUAAGAAAUAUAUUUUUAAAUACAAGUAUAAACAUAAUAUUUUAAUUACUAUAUUAAAUUAAAAUAAAUAAUUAAAAUUAGAUGACAUGAAUUAUUAAUUUUAUUAAUGUUUUUCACUCUUUAUUUUUUAAUGUUUAAUUCUCUUUUUUCUCUCUUAUAAAUUCGCAAAUGGAAUAAUUAAAACCACUAAAAUUAGUUUGCUUACAGAGUCUGUAAAUGGAAAGAGAAGUAUUAAAGUAACGUGGUUGAUGCACGUGAGUUGCCGUUAGAUAAUAAUGAGUUUCGUUCACUUCUAAUUUUUGGGGACAUGAACAAGUUUUGGAAAAUAAAAAUUAUGGGUUUUAGGUGCAUAUACAUUUCUCUUACAUAGCCAUGAUAAUUUCAGCUUUUUAUUUGAACAAAUAACAACUCAUAAAUUCAUAAAUAGAGCUUCAGCUCCACCGUAAAUGUAUAACAAUAAAGUACGUAAUUUUAGCUUUCUACCUGAACAAAUACUGGCAGCACAUGAUUUGAUGGUUUUAUUUAUUCCAUUUUGAUGGUUUUAAAGUAUUUUAUUUAUAAAUUUAGAAAAGAGAAAAAUUUUAAUAAAAGGAGAAAGAGAAUUCAAUAUUAAAGAGAGGAAAGAGAAAAAUAUUAAUAAAAUUAAUAACUCAUAUCAUUUAAAGUUAACCUUCAUCUCAAUUUAAUCUAAUAGUUGAAAAAUUAUAUUUAAACCUGUGUUUAAAAGUGUUUCUUUUAGACUUACCAUUUAUAUAUAUAGAGAGAGACACACACUAUAUAUAUAGAGAGAGAGACACACUCACACACACACAUACUCAGGUGUGAAUACCUAUAUGUAGAUUUUACAUGAAUUCUUAUUAUAUAUCAUGUGACAUAAUAGUUAAUUGAACAGAAACGUUAUAAUGUCAUAUGUUGUAAUAGCAAAUUCAUACAAAAUCUAUAUUUGCCAUCCGCAUUUGAAUCAGUUUAUAUAUAUAGCCACUGACUAAGUUAUAUAUAAUGUAAUUUAUAGUUGAUCUAAAAAUAGUUUUUCAUGUGAAAAAAUUGGUCAUUACAUCUAAUGUAAUUAAUGUUAGUGUCUAUUUAUUUAUAUCUACAUUUUAUUUUCAAGACUAAGGAAUUUUUUUUUUUUUAGUACAUAUCAAGCUUAUUGAGCACUACACUCUAUUUAUAUUGAAAGAAUGAUGCUACACUAACAUUUUUAAUUUUUCAUCCCUAACUUUUGAAGUAGCAUCAAUUUAUUAUAUAGUCAAUUUAAUAACUUUUAAAAUUACUAUCAGUUCAUACCAUAAUCUAAUAUCACAACAUUUGAGAUAAAUAAAGUUGGAAAAUUAAUUAAGAACAUAAAUAUAAUUUUGUAAUUGAAUCGUGUAGAAGGUGGCGAAUGAGUGGUAUACGGAGGCUUAAUGGACUCGGGGUAGGCUCUUGCAUUUUAAGAACAAUUGCCGAAGGAGCUGAAACAAAUAAUGACUUAAUUUUAAAAGAUGACUCAAAAAUAUCCUUGGUUAUAGUUUCAUAAUAUAAACAAUUAAAUUUAAUGAUAUUUUAGUCAUUUUAAUUGAGUUAUUGAAAAAAAUUAAAAAACAAAUUCCAAAAUUUGGCACUACACAAUGCAACAAACUAACACAUAGUAUGUAUCAAUUAGUUGUGCACUCGUUCUAGCUGCUAUAGUCGACCUCCCAAGAUUUAUUAACGACAUUAAAUACACACGUGCGCACAAACACACAAACUUCCUACUCAAGUCAAGAAAGCCUGAUUUGGAAUCCUUUUUCACAACCUUCUUAUCCAAAUGAGAGAGACACUGUUUUUGCUAAUUCGAAUUGAAUGGUGAUAUAAAAUCGACCUAUUUCUUACAUUAUAUUGGUUGGGAUGCCAGUAACUCACGUGUGGUAUUUGAAAUGUCUUCCUAAUUAUAUCACGAAUCUUUUAUAUAAACCAAGUGAAUAAGCCAAUUAAGAAUCUCAAUUAUCUAAAUGAAAUACCCUCUGAUUACUCUAAAAUCGCUAAAGUGAACGGAGCGACGGAAUUGGAACUUUUUGCACGGAUACGACUUCUAGAAAACCGUUUGAUUGAAGGCUUGCUGUCACAAUUCAAUUUAGGUGAGUACGAAGCAACUAUUUGUAUUUGAAGACUCUUCUUUUGUUCGCCUACAUUCUUCUUCCCCACUGCGACUGAAUCUGCUGGUGAGCCUCUAAGAAACCCUCUUCCUAGAAAGAGAACUUUAUCACCACCUCCACCAAAGGCCUCAUAGAUAAAAUCUUUAAAGGUCAAAUGAAAAUAUAGUGGUACAUGAUUAUAUAGAAUAGAAAGUGCUUUUGUUAAUUUGAUUUUCUCAUCAUCUUUCCCUUUCCGAUGGCAUCGUUUUGGACAUUGGUAUUCGGGUUAGGAUAAUAUGCUUGAUAGCAUCACUUUGGACUGUGAUGUUCAAAUUAGGAUAAUAUGCUUGCGUUGGAUCAAAGAUUAUAGAAAUCCCCACAGGACGGAUCCCUAGGAAAUUUUUCUUAUUUAAGAAGGGUAUAUAGAUAAGUUUAUACUUAAUUUUUUAUUCAGUAAAAGGACGAAUACAAUUUAAUACUCAAAUAUUUUUAUUUGAGGAGAUGAUGAGAAUUUAGUGAAAUUUUCAUCUCCUUUCCAUCUAUCUAUUUUUUUUUUAUAUUUUUGUUUCAUUUCUUUUAAAAAUUUUAGUAAAUACAUUUAAAAUUUAAGGCAUAACAGUAUAGAUGUAAAUAACAAAUAUUAAAUAACAACUUAUAUAGUAUUUACAAAAAUAAUAUAAAUAAUAAUUGAAGACUGACGAAGUAAUUUUGCUGGUGAGUUAUACCAUGUGACUUUUUAUGAAUUUGCUCAACUUUGAAGCUAUAAUUGAUUAAUUUCAUAGAUUUUUUUUUAUAAUUUUGAUGACAUUGACUUAGUUUGAUGGAAAUGAUUUUGGUUACUUUAUUUUAUUUUGAUGUUUAUGUUUUGAUAAUGCGAUAUUAUACUUUUAUUUGAAUAUGAUUAAAUCAAGCUUAUAAAUUAAAAGUAUCAAUUCUUCGAAUAUCGGAACCCUCGGGAUUUCCUUUUAUUAUUUGGAAAUCCUCAUCCCUUCCCUUCAAGCAAUUUUAAAGUGGAUAUGAAGAAUACGAGGAUAUAUGCAGAGUAUUGAGGAUGGUACGAAGAUGUUGAUUCUCUCCCCUUCUUUUCACAUUGCCAUCUCUAUUUCAGAUGUAGUUAUGUUGACUCUGAUGCAUGGAUAUUCUACUGGCCCAAUAGUGGCAAUCUUCUUUUAGGCUUUUCCAGAAAUUAUUUGGAUGAUAUUACUUUUGAUGAAGCAGUGACCUUGCACUCUGGCUUAGGACUUGUUAGUAAAAUUGAUUUAUCUCCAUUUUCAAGUUGAAUUCAUUAUUUUUUAUACACGUGCUUGAACAUAUAGAUAACCUAUCGUCAACGAAUUUUAACUAUCUAUAUUGUAUGCAUUUUUUUAUGUCUAGUAUGAUCAUGCAUGCCCACUUAUAUACAAUUUUUUCUUUUUUCUAGAUUAAGACUUUAUUUGGUAUUUCUAUAUAUAUUCAGGACCCGAUUAAAUUCCUGUUAGGGUUCAUGCCCUAACAAACCCAAUCUAACCCGACCCAAAAUUAAAAAAAUGAUUUUAUUUGUAUGACUUUAUAAGAUAUGAUUUUAAUUAUUUUUUAUUAUUUAUAUAAUUAUAUUGUUGAGACAUUGAGUACAUUUUAACAUAUAUGGGAGGUUAUGUUUUUUUUUUCAAAUUUUAAAUUACUUAAAUAUAAAAAAAUAUAUCUUAAAAAUAAUUAUAGACUUCAUGCUUGGACAAAAGUCCGACCCAACCCAGACCCGAAUUGAGUCGGGCCCAAAAUUCAAAGACUAGGGUUUUUCUCCAAACCCAACAGGACUUAGCACUGUAAACUUUUUCACAAGAGAAUAAUAAUAAUAAUAAUAUCAGUUGGAGUCUCAAUUUAAGGUUCAAUUUGGGCUACCCUACCUUGGACUUUUGGCACCCCUCUCAAAUUCUCUUGAAACUUUUUUUUUUAAAUUAUACUCCAUUUAAUAUAAAAAAAUGUCCUUUUCUUUUAAUAAAUAAACAUUCCUUUCAUUUAUAAAUAUUUCAAUUUCUAAUAAUUUUUGCAUUUUUAAAAUUUCUUUGACAAUAAUUGAUAUCUUUAUUUUCUUGAAACUCUCUCUCUAACAAACUCACUAGCCUCUCAAGAACAAAUAAAAUAGCUAUAAAGGAAAAAAAAAAUUGCUCAUCAUUAUUUUUAUAGGGUCAUUCACCACCUCCAUAGGCACCAUAAGCAUUCUUUGGGAUAAUGAAGAACAAUUUUAGAUCAGAAUAAAUUAAUAGAUUUAGUUUAAUAAGUAUAAAUUAGUGUUGCCAUUGACAAAGAGACAACUUAUGAGUCCUCAUCAAACUCGUGAGAAGACAUGUCACUGCAAAUGGGAUCUUCAAAUGUCAUUUGCGGCUCUGCACUUCAUGUGGGUAUAUAAGUGUACUUUUACUCGGGGGUAAAAUUGUAAAUAAUAGGAUAUUAGAGGCAUGCCAAGAACGCCACUCGUGUAAAUUUUUGACCCAUUUGGGCUUUUACAACAAUGUUUCGCACUGAAGUAGCAAGUUCAAAUUCCAAUAGGGCCAGAUAUACACAGCCAAUUAGCCCGCAACACCCCGAACAAAAUAUUUUAACACAAUGCAUUUUUUUUUUUACUAAUGUUAGCGGAUAUUAUAUCAUAUAUUAUAAUUAAUAUUUAGAAAUAAAUUCUUAUCAUGUACUUAUAAUUGGAAUCUCCUCUUGGCAUGUACUUAUUUGAAAUUGUUCAGAUUCUUUAAAUUUUUUUCUAAUAUUUGAGGGGUGUUUACUCUACUUAUAUUUUGUGAGGAAGAGUCUGUCUCCAUUUAAUGAGAUUGUCUGAAUUCAAUUAUUAGAUAAUUGAAGGAGAAUUGAAACUAAGAGUAUCUCCAAAAAACUAUUUAAAUUAAAUUUUACUUCUUAUUUAAGAGACAUAUUAAUAUUAAAUACUCUAAAAGACACGUUAAUUUAGAUUAUUCAAAUAAGAUUUAUUUCUCACUCUUCAAUAUUACCGAGUGAAUUUCUCCCUCUUCUAUUAAUAUUUUAUUAUUAUUUAUUGAAAAGAUAAGACUGUAAUAAUUAUUAUUUAUGUUUUCUUUAAAAAACAUAACAGUAAUUCAAUUUGAUAGUGAAAAAAAUUUAAUUAAAAUAAUAUUAACUUAUUUUUAUUUGAUAAAUCUUUUAAAAAAAAUUAUAUUUUUUAAUAUACUUAUUUAUCACAUUAAUAAGUAAAUUAAAAUUUAAAGAGUAAAAUUUAAAGAGCUUUUUAGAAAUACUUUAACUCUAUAAUACUUUUACCCCAUAAUACUUUUAUAAAAAUUCAAAUUCUUACUCUUAAUAUUAUAAUCUUACUCUCAACAUUGUAAUUACAACGACUCUUCCACUGGCAAAAGACCCAUUGGUUACCCAUUGGUUAACACAACGUAUUUAAUUCUUCACAACCGAGUCAAUUAUUUAUUUUGGUUUGUAUUGCUUUGCUUUGCUUUGCAUUGCAAUUUUUCACUUUUUUUUCCUCCAAAAUAUUAUUUUCUUAUCCUUCUUGGGAGAAGAUAUCAAGGUACCCAGCUCAAGAUUUAAGACAGAAAUGAUAAAAAUACAACUCAAAAGGUAAUUUGAAGCACUUCAAAUUUAAAAUAGAAAUGGGCGAUGAGCUUAUUAUAAACACCGGCCCAAUAAAUAUUUUUGGGGACAACUUUCAAUCACUAGUGGUUUUAAUAAGUAUCAAAAGCCAUUACCUAAGCUUACUACAUAUGUACACCAAAUAAUGGCUUCUUUUUUUUUUUUUUUUUUUUAAUUUUCCCUCACUCCUCCACAUCUUUUAUGUACACCAACAAAGACGUGGGCACAUGACCAUUCUCUCAUUAUUACUUUGAGUUUUUUUUUUUUAAUUAAUUACAAAGUUUUAGAUGUAAGGAUUAACGUGCGAUGAGUAAUCCCUAAUUCCAGCACCUUCCCAUCCCAUCCACUCCUCCCA